This 810-nucleotide ribosomal RNA is filed under the name Pedobacter sp. 12-18. RNAcentral describes it as "bacterial SSU rRNA". It matches the Rfam family "Bacterial small subunit ribosomal RNA", at positions 56 to 866 of the family's 1533-position model. Lineage: Bacteria; Pseudomonadati; Bacteroidota; Sphingobacteriia; Sphingobacteriales; Sphingobacteriaceae. The record is from RNAcentral. RNAcentral also lists the same sequence under 1 other name.
UGCAAGUCGAACGAUAGUUUCCAGCUUGCUUCUCACGAAAGUGGCGCACGGGUGCGUAACGCGUAUGCAACCUACCUUAAUCAGGGGGAUAGCCCGAAGAAAUUCGGAUUAACACCGCAUAAAAUCACAGUAUAGCAUUAUACAAUGAUCAAAUAUUUAUAGGAUUAAGAUGGGCAUGCGUGACAUUAGUUAGUUGGCGGGGUAACGGCCCACCAAGACCACGAUGUCUAGGGGAUCUGAGAGGAUGACCCCCCACACUGGUACUGAGACACGGACCAGACUCCUACGGGAGGCAGCAGUAAGGAAUAUUGGUCAAUGGAGGCAACUCUGAACCAGCCAUGCCGCGUGCAGGAAGACAGCCCUCUGGGUCGUAAACUGCUUUUAUUCGGGAAUAAACCUAUCUACGUGUAGAUAGCUGAAUGUACCGAAGGAAUAAGGAUCGGCUAACUCCGUGCCAGCAGCCGCGGUAAUACGGAGGAUCCAAGCGUUAUCCGGAUUUAUUGGGUUUAAAGGGUGCGUAGGCGGCUUAUUAAGUCAGGGGUGAAAGACGGUGGCUCAACCAUCGCAGUGCCUUUGAUACUGAUGAGCUUGAAUAUACUAGAGGUAGGCGGAAUGUGACAAGUAGCGGUGAAAUGCAUAGAUAUGUCACAGAACACCGAUUGCGAAGGCAGCUUACUAUGGUAUUAUUGACGCUGAGGCACGAAAGCGUGGGGAUCAAACAGGAUUAGAUACCCUGGUAGUCCACGCCCUAAACGAUGAAUACUCGCUGUUAGCGAUAUACAGUUAGCGGCUAAGCGAAAGCGUUAAGUA